Molecule: long non-coding RNA, 555 nt
Organism: Salvia splendens (bonfire salvia)
Lineage: Eukaryota; Viridiplantae; Streptophyta; Magnoliopsida; Lamiales; Lamiaceae
Exons: 2
Source: RefSeq, a predicted model, not a curated record
UCCAUCGGUUUCUCUCCUAGCGUAAAUCACGUGUUUUUCCUUCUUCUCCCAAAACACUUUCUUCAAUUUUGGAACUUAUUCACGAUAAUUUGAAGCAGGUUUUGGCUGCGUUGAUUUCAAUUCUUGGCGCUCAAACUCUCCAUUUAUUCAUUCAAUCUUCAAUUCAUACAAUCAAUGGAGAAUGAUCGUUCUGAUGUCGAUGGAAUCGUUGAUUUUCCAGAAAAAAUAGAAAACCGUGACGACGGAAUUGCUUUCUACGACGCUUACGCUCGUGCUUCUGGUUUCGACACACGGAAUUUUCAGCCGUUUGGUGUCGCCAAAAUAGAAGGCUAUUAAGUUGAAAAACAAAUAAUUGCGUAGGUGUAGGAACUGCGGGGAAUUGGACCUCCACGACUCCACGAAUUGCAAGUGGGUGGAUGAAGAAGAAUAGCCAAAUUGCUUGUUUAAAAUUGUUUUAUUGCUUGCCUCUGAUUCAUGAAUUGCAUAUCAAUGUUUUUGUUACCUUUUUAGGGGAAUUACUUUGUUAUUAUAUCUAAAUAUUGAUUUUUGAUACCA